CCUACGGGUGGCAGCAGUGAGGAAUAUUUGUCAAUGGACGAGAGUCUGAACCAGCCAAGUAGCGUGAAGGAUGACUGCCCUAUGGGUUGUAAACUUCUUUUAUAUGGGAAUAAAAUGUUCCACGUGUGUGAUUUUGUAUGUACCAUAUGAAUAAGGAUCGGCUAACUCCGUGCCAGCAGCCGCGGUAAUACGGAGGAUGCGAGCGUUAUCCGGUUUUAUUGGGUUAAAAGGGUGCGUAGUCGGACUGUUAAGUCAGCGGUAAAAGCCCGGGGCUCAACCCCGGCGAGCCGUUGAAACUGGCGGUCUGGAGAGGUCGAGAGGUAUGCGGAAUGCGUAGUGUAGCGGUGAAAUGCUUAGAUAUUGCGCAGAACUCCGAUUGCGAAGGCAGCAUACCGGAGGGGAUCUGACGCUGAGGCACGAAAGCGUGGGUAUCGAACAGGAUUAGAUACCCCAGUAGUC
RNAcentral lists this ribosomal RNA (459 nucleotides) under uncultured bacterium. RNAcentral describes it as "partial 16S ribosomal RNA". It matches the Rfam family "Bacterial small subunit ribosomal RNA", at positions 338 to 795 of the family's 1533-position model. The record is from RNAcentral.